GGGAACACGGUUUCAACAAAGAAAAGUCUAGCCAUAGUUGCGCCCAACUUGCGCUCUUUUGUUUUGGGGUGAUGAGUCCACUUCCAACCACCCAAUAAACCAAUCCUGCUGAGAGCGAGAGCUGCUUUCUAACUCAAGCAUCGAAUCAAAGACUUUUACACAGACCUAGAAGCAGCCAAAAUUGCGGCUCACAGAUCAGACCAGAGUCUUGUACACCGUAGACUGGGGCGGAUCUAGAAUUCAAAUUUUGGGGCGCCAAACAAAUUUCAAAAAACACCUAUGUAUUUUUAAAUUCUGUAAGGGCACUUCUAUAAUUUGUAAAAUUUAGAAUGAUGGAAAAAUGUCAAAAAUAAAACUUAAAGGGCACACCGCACGCGUGUCUCUCGUGCCUCUUACUAGAUUUUAUAAUUCUACCGGGAUGCUCUUCUAAUUUUGUAAAAGAACAUUCAAGAGCACACCGCACACGUGUCUCCCGUGCCUCUUACUAGAUCCGUCACUGACCGUAGACGAUGUAGAGACCGUGAGCCACGAGCGUCUGAUCCUCAGAAUCUGCUAGAAUUUCGUCAUUUUUUGUGGAAUUUUUUUCUAAGCAUUUAAUUGUUGAUUAAGUAGGAUUUGUCGAUAUACACACUGAUAAAUGAGAAGACUUGAAUAUUGAAGAGUCUACGCAUCUAAAGAUACCUUUUGUACACAGAAAAGUUAAAGAUUUUCCAAGGAAUCUAUUUCUGACGUUGAUAUAAAAUUGAUUAGAGCAUGUAGCUGGCAGUUUGUUCACAUUCUUUCCGUUGAUAAUUUGUAAAAGCAGCUGGCCAUUGACAUUUCAAAUGAACAAUUAACAAAGGAAAAUUAAUAAAGUAUGUUCCGGACUCCAUGGAUUCAACUUGAAAUAUUAUCAUGUCCUUGUGUACGGUGUGGCGUAUUUUGAUGACCAAGUAAGCAAUUGCUUGUACGUUAAUGGCUCAAAUUAAACAUUGAAAAAGUUGGUAGUGAUAUUAUGACUUUAAAUUUAAGUGGAUAGAAUUGAUAACAGAACUAUGAAUAUGGUCAAUCUGAAAUAUAACGAUGAGAGUAGGUAAAGAUGAUGCAAGUGCCGAACGGCGAAACAAAAACUAACGAAUGCUUUCGUGAAAACGACCCAUAUUUAAAAACAGAGAGAAUUAUAAUCGGGGCAUACUUUUUCCGUGAGAAGAAAUUAGAUUAGUUCUGAGGACUUAGACAUGAAAUCAAAAGUAUUCAUGGAUUCCUAAUCAUUAGUCCAAAUAUAAAUUUAGAUAUUUAGUUGUGCGCAUGCAGUUCUAGCGAACUAUUGAUGCGCAGUUAUUCCACGAACCAAUCAUUCUUCUUAAUUUGCACGAUGCUGGUAGCAUUUAUGUCUGCAGACAAGUACUCCCUCCGUCCCCCUCAAUUGUUUAUAUUAGAGGAGAACGGGGACGCGGCACGGACUUUAAUGCUCCUGUAAAGUAUAGUUCUAUAAAUUUUUUUUAAGAUUUUUUUUUCUAAAUAAAAGUUUGAAUGUUAUAUUUUUAUUCAGAAAAAAAAAUCUUAAAAAUAUGUUAUAAAAUUAUAUUUUACAAGAGCAUUGAAGUGCGUGUCGAGCAGUGAAAAAGAAACGUAUAGAAUUAAAUGGGACAGAGGGAGUAAUAUAUAAAAAGGAGAGAGUGUAAAUGGGACAGAGAGAGUAAUAUAUAAAAAGAAGAGAGUGGAGUAAAAAUAGUGUGAAAAGAAAGAAAAAGUGUAAAAGUGGUAGGACCCGUUAACUAUUUUAGGAAGUUUUGUAAUGUAAAGAAAUGAGUGAGACGGCUUAAAAAGAAAACGGUAAAGAAUCUGGUGGGACGGAGGGAGUAAUAGACAUCGGCUAAUACAAAUGAUCGUACCUGGCCAGGGGAAACCAAAACUGGAAGUAUUCAUACGGUAAGGAUAACGACGAUGGUGGUAAUAAUUUGAGUGAUGAGAGUGGAGAGAAGGAUCGGGUAUUUUCCUCGCAUACCAGUACGGAUGGUGG
RNAcentral lists this long non-coding RNA (2002 nucleotides) under Daucus carota (carrot). RNAcentral's name for it is "long non-coding RNA (DCAR_LNC003203)". The record is from RNAcentral. Lineage: Eukaryota; Viridiplantae; Streptophyta; Magnoliopsida; Apiales; Apiaceae.